This 429-nucleotide ribosomal RNA is filed under the name bacterium. Its description in RNAcentral is "partial 16S ribosomal RNA". It matches the Rfam family "Bacterial small subunit ribosomal RNA", at positions 355 to 776 of the family's 1533-position model. The record is from RNAcentral.
UAGGGAAUCUUCGGCAAUGGGGGCAACCCUGACCGAGCAACGCCGCGUGAGUGAAGAAGGUUUUCGGAUCGUAAAGCUCUGUUGUAAGAGAAGAACGUGUGUGAGAGUGGAAAGUUCACACAGUGACGGUAACUUACCAGAAAGGGACGGCUAACUACGUGCCAGCAGCCGCGGUAAUACGUAGGUGCCGAGCGUUGUCCGGAUUUAUUGGGCGUAAAGCGAGCGCAGGCGGUUUAAUAAGUCUGAAGUUAAAGGCAGUGGCUUAACCAUUGUUCGCUUUGGAAACUGUUAAACUUGAGUGCAGAAGGGGAGAGUGGAAGUCCAUGUGUAGCGGUGAAAUGCGUAGAUAUAUGGAGGAACACCGGUGGCGAAAGCGGCCCUCUGGUCUGUAACGGACGCUGAGGCUCGAAAGCGUGGGGAGCAAACAGG